ACAUUAUCAUCUACCUUUCAAGAAAAGAGUGCAAGAUUUAGAGCAAUGAGGGAAAAACAAGACCACAUUCACACAAUGAGUCGGAGGGGUUAUGCUCGUUUGACUCACAUUAUGAAAAAGACAAGUCCGAUAGAUACAAAAAUUACGAGAUCGCAAGUUUGGAUUGAAGGUCACAAGAAAAAAAAAUGGGGAGCCCAGUACUCAAGCCGUUGGAGAGAAAAUGGUAAGC
Long non-coding RNA from Zingiber officinale, 229 nucleotides. RefSeq lists it as uncharacterized. The record is from RefSeq and is a predicted model, not a curated record. NCBI's taxonomy places the organism in Eukaryota, Viridiplantae, Streptophyta, Magnoliopsida, Zingiberales, Zingiberaceae. The transcript has 3 exons.